RNAcentral lists this ribosomal RNA (497 nucleotides) under uncultured bacterium. RNAcentral's name for it is "partial 16S ribosomal RNA". It matches the Rfam family "Bacterial small subunit ribosomal RNA", at positions 28 to 507 of the family's 1533-position model. The record is from RNAcentral.
GAUGAACGCUGGCGGCGUGCCUAAUACAUGCAAGUCGAGCGAACAGACGAGGAGCUUGCUCCUCUGACGUUAGCGGCGGACGGGUGAGUAACACGUGGAUAACCUACCUAUAAGACUGGGAUAACUUCGGGAAACCGGAGCUAAUACCGGAUAAUAUAUUGAACCGCAUGGUUCAAUAGUGAAAGACGGUUUUGCUGUCACUUAUAGAUGGAUCCGCGCCGCAUUAGCUAGUUGGUAAGGUAACGGCUUACCAAGGCAACGAUGCGUAGCCGACCUGAGAGGGUGAUCGGCCACACUGGAACUGAGACACGGUCCAGACUCCUACGGGAGGCAGCAGUAGGGAAUCUUCCGCAAUGGGCGAAAGCUUGACGGAGCAACGCCGCGUGAGCGAUGAAGGUCUUCGGAUCGUAAAACUCUGUUAUUAGGGAAGAACAAAUGUGUAAGUAACUAUGCACGUCUUGACGGUACCUAAUCAGAAAGCCACGGCUAACUACGUG